This 253-nucleotide ribosomal RNA is filed under the name uncultured bacterium. RNAcentral describes it as "partial 16S ribosomal RNA". It matches the Rfam family "Bacterial small subunit ribosomal RNA", at positions 524 to 776 of the family's 1533-position model. The record is from RNAcentral.
AACGUAGGUCCCGAGCGUUAUCCGGAUUUACUGGGCGUAAAGCGUGUUCAGGCGGUCUAGCAAGUCGGGCAUGAAAUCUCUCGGCUCAACCGGGAGGGGUUGUCCGAUACUGCUGGGCUUGAGGGCAGCAGAGGGUGGUGGAAUUCCGGGUGUAGUGGUGAAAUGCGUAGAUAUCCGGAGGAACACCAGUGGCGAAGGCGGCCACCUGGGCUGUACCUGACGCUCAAACACGAAAGCUAGGGGAGCAAACAGG